GGUUUUUAGAAUUAAUUAAAAAUCAAGCCUGCUCAAUGCUAAGUAAAUAGCCGCAGAAUUUUAACUGUGCAAAGGUAGCAUAAUCACUUGUCUUUUAAUUGAGGACUAGAAUGAAAGGUUUAACUAUGUAAUUUUGUCUUAUAGUAAUAUUUUGAAUUUAAUUUUUUAGUAAAAAAGCUAAAAUACAUCUUAAAGACGAGAAGACCCUAUUAAGCUUAACAAUCUAAUAUUAUUUUCAAACUAAUUAAAAAAUUGUUCUGCUGGGGCAGCAAGUAAAAAAAUAUUGUUUACAUAUUGUGAUAAAUAAAUCUAGAAAAAUCAAUAAUUUGUUAAAAAAUAAUAAGUUACUAUAGGGAUAACAGCAUAAUUUUUUUAAAGAGUUCUCAUCAACAAAAAAGUUUGUGACCUCGAUGUUGGAUUAAGAAUCCUAUUUCACGCAGUAGUAAAAAAAGGGAGUCUGUUCGACUUUUAAAUUCUUCCA
This 481-nucleotide ribosomal RNA is filed under the name Paruroctonus becki. Its description in RNAcentral is "partial 16S ribosomal RNA". It matches the Rfam family "Bacterial large subunit ribosomal RNA", at positions 1832 to 2600 of the family's 2925-position model. The record is from RNAcentral. Lineage: Eukaryota; Metazoa; Arthropoda; Arachnida; Scorpiones; Vaejovidae.